RNAcentral lists this ribosomal RNA (345 nucleotides) under uncultured bacterium. RNAcentral describes it as "bacterial SSU rRNA". It matches the Rfam family "Bacterial small subunit ribosomal RNA", at positions 8 to 334 of the family's 1533-position model. The record is from RNAcentral.
AGGGUUUGAUUCUGGCUCAGGACGAACGCUGGCGGCGUGCCUAACACAUGCAAGUCGAACGAAGCUUGAUAAUAGAUUUCUUCGGAAUGAAAUUUGAUAUGACUGAGUGGCGGACGGGUGAGUAACGCGUGAGCAACCUGCCCUUCGGAAGGGGAUAGCGUCUGGAAACGGACGGUAAUACCGUAUAAUGUAUUGAGAUGGCAUCAUCAUAAUACCAAAGCUGAGGCGCCGAAGGAUGGGCUCGCGUCUGAUUAGAUAGUUGGUGGGGUAACGGCCUACCAAGUCGACGAUCAGUAGCCGGACUGAGAGGUUGAACGGCCACAUUGGGACUGAGACACGGCCCAG